Molecule: long non-coding RNA, 434 nt
Filed under: Setaria viridis
Lineage: Eukaryota; Viridiplantae; Streptophyta; Magnoliopsida; Poales; Poaceae
Description: long non-coding RNA (SVIR_LNC008368)
Source: RNAcentral
AGUUCUCAUAUACUGAAAACCAGAUGGGAUCGUGCCAGUGAGUGAAUUGAUCGAUAGAUCAAGUUUACUCAAGUUUCUCAACCCACACAACUCUGUAGGAAUAGAGCCUGUAAGCUGGUUCUGGAAGAGGUAGAGCAAAUUCAAUUCUGGUAUGUUGCCCAACUCCUUUGGUAUUCCUCCAGUUAAGAAAUUUUCUGAAAAGUCAAUCUCUCUUGCAAGAGAAAGAUUCCCAAUCUCAGAAGGAAUAGUACCAUUUAAUGAGUUUCUAUAAAGGUAUAGCUUCUGAAGAUUCGUGAUGUUCCCAAUUGUUGCAGGUAUGGGACCAAAUAGAUUAUUGUCAUAGAGGGCAACUGUGCCAAGACUUGUACAGUUUCCUAUCUCUGGAGGAAUAACACCAGAAAGCUGAUUCCCCCAUAGGAUUAAGUCAGUCAUCA